UGGGGAAUAUUGCACAAUGGGCGAAAGCCUGAUGCAGCGACGCCGCGUGAGGGAUGACGGCCUUCGGGUUGUAAACCUCUUUCAGCAGGGAAGAAGCGAAAGUGACGGUACCUGCAGAAGAAGCGCCGGCUAACUACGUGCCAGCAGCCGCGGUAAUACGUAGGGCGCAAGCGUUGUCCGGAAUUAUUGGGCGUAAAGAGCUCGUAGGCGGUUAGUCGCGUCUGCUGUGAAAACUCGAGGCUCAACCUCGGGCUUGCAGUGGGUACGGGCUGACUAGAGUGCGGUAGGGGUGACUGGAAUUCCUGGUGUAGCGGUGGAAUGCGCAGAUAUCAGGAGGAACACCGAUGGCGAAGGCAGGUCACUGGGCCGCAACUGACGCUGAGGAGCGAAAGCAUGGGGAGCGAACAGGAUUAGAUACCUUGGUAGUCCAUGCCGUAAACGUUGGGCACUAGGUGUGGGGUCCAUUCCACGGAUUCCGUGCCGCAGCAAACGCAUUAAGUGCCCCGCCUGGGGAGUACGGCCGCAAGGCUAAAACUCAAAUGAAUUGAC
RNAcentral lists this ribosomal RNA (549 nucleotides) under uncultured bacterium. Its description in RNAcentral is "partial 16S ribosomal RNA". It matches the Rfam family "Bacterial small subunit ribosomal RNA", at positions 355 to 914 of the family's 1533-position model. The record is from RNAcentral.